RNAcentral lists this ribosomal RNA (427 nucleotides) under uncultured bacterium. RNAcentral describes it as "bacterial SSU rRNA". It matches the Rfam family "Bacterial small subunit ribosomal RNA", at positions 355 to 774 of the family's 1533-position model. The record is from RNAcentral.
UGGGGAAUUUUGGACAAUGGGCGCAAGCCUGAUCCAGCCAUGCCGCGUGCAGGAUGAAGGCCCUCGGGUUGUAAACUGCUUUUGUACGGAACGAAAAGCCUCUUUCUAAUAAAGAGGGGUGAUGACGGUACCGUAAGAAUAAGCACCGGCUAACUAUGUGCCAGCAGCCGCGGUAAUACGUAGGGUGCGAGCGUUAAUCGGAAUUACUGGGCGUAAAGCGUGCGCAGGCGGUCUUGCAAGACAGUGGUGAAAUCCCCGGGCUCAACCUGGGAACUGCCAUUGUGACUGCAAGGCUGGAGUACGGCAGAGGGGGAUGGAAUUCCGCGUGUAGCAGUGAAAUGCGUAGAUAUGCGGAGGAACACCGAUGACGAAGGCAGUCCCCUGGGCCUGUACUGACGCUCAUGCACGAAAGCGUGGGGAGCAAACA